UUGUAUCCCCAAGCUAAAGGCAUAGUAUAUGCACUCAAGGAAAAGGGGAUUGACAUGGCCAUUGCUUCUAGAUCACCAACCUCAGAUAUUGCAAAGACAUUUAUUGACAAACUAAAUCUCAAGCCAAUGUUUGUAGCACAGGUGAGUCAGCAAGAACUAAGAAUCGUUUUUUUUUUUCUUUUAAAAUCUUUACUGUGCAAUGAGUAACAGGGUCAACCAAUUGUGUUUCUUACUCGAGAACAUGACUAGCAGGGUCAUAGUUUAGUAGAACAUAGUUCUGAAAGGGAAGGAGAAAGAUGUAGCGUCUAACACACAGGGUUUGUAAAGUGUUGGAUACCGAAUUGUUUCUUGGAAUGGCUCAUGAUGUUGAGGAUUAAUUUAGUGCCUAAUAACUUGAUUUGAGUGAUGAGCCUGUUGAGUUUCAUCAUAUCAAAUAGGUAAGAAACUCUUAAGUCUAUUGUGUUUCUGAUGAUCCUUUUACACGAUCUGUAUUUCUGGGUCACUUCUGCUUAGUAUAAGUGGCUGGUGCUUGCCUUUGAUGAGAAACGAGGAAUUAGGAGUUACCUGUUUGUGCCAAAAAGAUUGGAAUGUUCUAUCAUUCUGCUAGCUCGGAGUUCUAUUUUCCGGUCACCGUUGUCUUGGAGACUGUUUUGUUUUCCAUGUUGCUUUUGUAUGCACUUCAUGUUCCCCAUAUGAAAUUAUAUUCAUCUAUCAUCAAGAGGAACUACUGCUUUGUUUGGCUUACAUGGUGAGUGAUUUUUUCUGACUAUUCAGGAAAUAUUUUCCAGUUGGACUCACAAGACAGAUCAUUUCCAGAGGAUUCAUUCGAGGACUGGGAUACCCUUUAACUCCAUGCUUUUUUUUGAUGAUGAGGAUAGGAACAUUCAAUCGGUAAAAACAAAACUUUCCUGCUUCCCCUGUCUUCUAAUUUUAUGAGUUGGAUCCUUACAUCUUGUAUUUUUUUUGUAAUGAACUGCCAAUUUCCCUGUAGAGUCCUCUGUUCCGUUUAAAAGAAUUUCUUUGUGAACAGGUUUCAAAAAUGGGAGUGACUAGCAUUCUGGUUGGUGAUGGGGUCAAUCUUGGAGCACUAAGACAGGGGCUCACAGAAUUUUCUCAAAAUGCUAGUAAAUCUGAGAAGAACAAGCAGAGGUGGCAGAAAUAUUCACAAAAUCCAAAUUCAUCUGAGAAGAAAGAUGAAGAUUGAACAUUUUGCACAUGCGCAAACGGAACUGGAGAUUAAGGCAAUGAAAUUGUUACCAGGCAAGGGUUGAAUUUGGGAGGACACAUUUUAUUCGUAUAAAUUAAGAUCUAUUGUUGUAUUAUUUAUACCACAAGAACUCCUCAAGAGUGUUUAAUUCUGGUACAUCUUCCCACAUUAAAUCAAGAGCAUUGAGCUUGUAUACAUGAUUUUGAUUCAUGAUUUAUCUCCCAUUCUUGUUCUGAAAUGGAUGCAAUUGUAGUUCACGGUUUAUUGCUGAUGCUGCCUGAUUACCUUAAUUCGUGUUCAUUUAUAUCCCAUCAUUUAAUUGUAGCUCACAUUUCAUUACUCAGCAUCACUUGAUGCAGCUGCUUCUCUCUGAUCAUCUAGAACCAUGUAACGGUGACAUAAACUCUUGAAUCAAAGGAUAUAGGCUGUUCUCUUUUAAUUCCCCAAGGAGAAACAUGUCUCAAGGAUUACGCAUGCAAAAUCCCUAUAAUUUUUUAUUCCAGAACUACAAUUGACUGUUUGUCUAAAUUUUCAUCAUUUGUCAAAGCAUUCAAGGUCUGUCAACUAAACUUGGGUGACUAAUUCACAAGUGUAAUUUACCCUGCAGAGCUAUAAAGUGGCAUUUUAUGGUCUGUGACUUGAUGAUAAUGAUCCGAAGAACAUGAGCAGCAAUUGCUGGCUAUGGGCAUCAACGAUGCUUUCUCUACCUCUCUGUAACAUGCCGUUUAUUCAAAGCAAUUACGUGUUCUAAUAGUGCUGCAUCACAUGGAAUUGUAAGAGGUCCAUCGCCAGACAAACCAUACUCUUCUUCUGCCAAUUUGAGUAGCUUUCUGAGAAUUUUGCUGUGUAGUUAUUCCCAAGGAAGCAAAAGUCGUUUCUGAUACACCACAAAAUGACCCUUCUCAGCUGGUGCGACAACUGCUUGUGUCUGUUCUCCCAAAGGGUUGUGGCAGAGUGCUUGUUUUUCUCAUAGUAGCAGCUAGUUUCUUCCCUCCCCUUGCCAAUUUGAUGAUCAUCUUGGUACUGAUCAUAAAAACAACAACAUAAAAAGAAAUUAAUGAGAUAAACAACAAUGGGCUGUCAACUCCCCAAAGCGAGUGCCUUUUCACCAAUCCAUUAGUUUAUCCAAGCAGCCAAAAAUCAAAGAUGCAGAACAAGGAAUUGAAGAACAUAAUGUUACACAUGAAGAUCUCGAAACAUUACAUUAUAACUAGAUUACAAUUACAGAUAUCUAAAAUAGCUAGGAAGUCGUUGUAAUGAUCUACAAUACACAAAACUGUUUUUCUUCCAAUUUUGUUCUCAAGUUUUUUUUUCAAUUGCAGUCUUCUAUGACUAGAUUGUUGACCUUUUUUAAAAAAAAAAUGUUAAGGAAAUAAAAAUUUCAAUCAAAGAGGAUUAAAGUGUGAAAUAAAAAAAAACAUCAUGACCAAUCUUAAAUUCAUGCAAAAAAAGUAAUUUUUAGUCCACUUAUUUUUCUUUUUCUGAUUUUACAGACCCUAUAGUUUUUGAAAUUUUAGUUCUGAUUCAAAAGUUCAUUUUAUUUGUUUUUCAGUUCUUUAGUGUGAGAUAGAAGAGAGAAAAUCAUCGGAUAACAGCGAAACAAAGAAGCUGUCGUUGAUCACAUUUCCUACAAAAAAGAGUCUAAUCUUGGUGUUAACAGAUUCAUUAAAUUGUUUUUAGAUCUUCUUCUCGUCAGAAAAAAUGGAUCGAUGUUGAGAGAAUUUUUAUCGGUUUGAUUUUGUGCUUUUAGAUUGAUUUAAAGGUGUUUUAGGUUGGAAAAUUGAUUUAUUAAGAUAGUAAGGGUGUAUUUUAGUUGUUUUCGAUGAAAAUUGGCUUAAAAAAAAUGAUGUUUUCAACCCAAAAAAACUCUAGUCUAGAUUUUUUGACAGUCUUUCUAAUGACUAGGAAUCUAGAAUAGUAAACGACAUGUGAUCUAUAUUUUUUUUUUUUUUACAUGAAGGCCAUUAUAAAUAGAAAAAGAAAAAAAGAAAGGCCAAGUACUUGGGUUUAGCUUACAGCAAUCUAAGAUCGGAACUCACCUCUUUUGUUUUUUUUUUUUUUUAGUAAAUUUUUUGAAUGCAUUAAAUUUUUUGAAUAUUAUAUUUAAGUUAUUAUUCAAUUUACUCAUAGUUCUCAAAUAAUAUUAUAGGCUUUUAUCUAACAUUUAUUUUUCAAUUAUUAUGUGCAUAAUGUGAAAAAAAAAGUAUCAUGGUUAAAUUAAAAUUUAUGUUUUUUAAAAUUUUUAAUCAAUUUUUUAUAUAAUUCAAUAUAGAAUUUCCAAUGUAUUAUUUUUUUUAAUUUUUAAUUACAUUCCCUUCAUAAUAAUGAAAACAUUUUUUUUAAAAAAUUGCUCUUAUGAUUUUGAUAAUUCUUUUUUAACAGAUAAAUAUUCAGAUAAACAAAUUGCCAAAAAAGGUAUAAUCAAUGCAUUUCUGCAGCAUCAAUUUACUUAUUUUUAAUCAUAACUUGAGUAGAUAUAAAUGGGGAGGUAUUAGAAAAAAGCCCUUUCCCUUGCUCCCAUCUUGACCUUUCCACCAUCAAGCCUUGCUAAGUUAAUUAACAGUUAAAGCAAGAUCUAAUGGCUGUCUUAGAGAAAGCUCCCUGAUCUGUGUUCAUCUCAGCCUCACAUCCUGGCUGGGUUCAUCUUCUUUCUGAUGAAGUAAAAUUUGCACUACUUUGAGGGAUGCAUCUGCUCAUGAUUUGAUAGAGAGAGUCUUGGGUGUACUCUUGUGUAAAUUAUAAUUUAGACCCUUUGAUUUUAUUGAUUUUGUAAAAUUAUAGCCUAUGUCUUUUAACCAAAGUUGAUUGUUUCCUCUCUCUAUGUAACAUGUGUUACAUUCUUUGAUUUUAUUGAUUUUAUAAGAUAAUAACCUAAGUUUUUUAACCAAAGUUGACUGUUAAUUCCUUUUUAAAUGUAUGUGUUUUGGGCGUAGUCUUUAGUAAUAUAACAAGGGAUAAGUAAUGGUUUGCUAAGUUCCCCUCUCUAUGUAAAACGUGUCACACACUUUGAUUUUAUUGAUUUUGUAAAAUUAUAACCUAAGUUUUUUUUUUUAUCAAAGUUGACUGUUAAUUCUGUUUAAAAAUAUAUGUAUUUUAGGCUUAGUCUUUAGCAACAUAACAAGGGAUAAUUAAUGGUUUGCUCAAGUUCUUCUCUCUACGUAACAUGUGUCAUACCUUUUGAUUUUAUUGAUUUUGUAAAAUCAUAACCUAAGUCUUUUAAUCAAAGUUGACUGUUAAUUCUUUUUUAAAUGUAUGUGUUUUGGGCUUAGUCUUUAGCAACAUAACAAGGGAUAAUUAAUGGUAUGCUCAAGUUCUUCUCUCUACAUAACAUGUGUCACACCCUUUGAUUUUAUUGAUUUUGUAAGAUCAUAACCUAAGUUUUUUAACCAAAGUUGACUGUUAAUUCUUUUUUAAAUAUAUGUGUUUUGGGCUUAGUCUUUAGCAACAUAACAAAGGAUAAUUAAUGGUUUGUUCAAGUUCUUCUCUCUACGUAACAUGUGUCACACCCUUUGAUUUUAUUGAUUUUGUAAAAUCAUAACCUAAUUUUAUUUUUUUUUAUCAAAAAUGACUGUUAUUUUUUUUUAAAUGUAUGUGUUUUGAGCUUAAUCUUUAACAAUAUAACAAGGAAUAAUUAAUAAUUUGCUCAAGUUCUCCUCUCUAUAUGACACGUGUCUUUUCAAAUAUACUAACUUCAUCAUCCCUCAAAGGAUUGAAAAAACAAAGAGUCUAAACAAUGUUUAUAGUUAGUGGAUCUCUUACCUCCCCUAUUUUAUACGAGAAAUGCUAAAUAAUGGGAAAAAAACAACGUUCUUAAAUAUAUUAGUGAUGAAUGUCAAACAUUAUGUUCUAUUUUGCUUUUGUUUUUGUUUAUAUAUAUAUAUAUAUAUAUAUAUAGUUAUUGAAGGAUAUUCUUGUUUUGUUUUGUUUUAUUAGAAUAUUUGAACGAUAAAGAUUGUAACUUUGGUGUAUUAUUGUAUUUUUGUUCUUAUGUUUGUUAACGCCAAGAUGAGAUUUUUAGUUUCAACAUUAAAUUAUUUCAGUUUAGUUUUGAGUGACUCCAUUGAUAUCUUAAAAUACACUAAUUUGCAGUGAAAAGUACAUGUGAAUUCAAUUAUUUUUUUAUUUGUUUUUAUUUAUGUUUUUAAAAUUUUAAAAAACCUAGAUAUUUUAAGCUGAUUUAUUUGGAAAUAUUAUUUAUUUUAAUAUGUUAUUUUAAAUAUAAAAAUUAUAAUAAGUUAUUUAAAUUUAUUUAUGAAUUGAAUUGAAUUCUUCAAGAGUUCAUAUAUAUAUAUAUAUAACCAUAUGAGCUUCACUAACUACUUAAUCAUGAAGGAAUGAUCUGAUUGAGAAUUUAUCAAUACAUUAAGGACCUAAUUGAGAAAGAAAAUAGAUUGGGUCCUAUAAAUUAUUGGCUUGUUUUGGGCCCUGACCAUAAAAAUUCAGAAGUCCACCUGAACAUUGUGUUUUCUUUGUCAAACAAAUACCAAUCACCGAGCGACCAAACGCUUAAAAUUGUCUCAAAUUCUUUCGGAAAGGCAAAAGCAAGCAGAAAGAUGGGAGACGAGACGGUGAAAAACGAUGCUUUGCAAAUUAUUGGAAUGUUUCAAGUGCUGCCUAGAUUGGUCGUCUUCGAUCUAGAUUACACUCUCUGGCCUUUCUAUUGGUACCUUUCUUUCUUUACAGCCACAUGCAUGAAGACAUAAAGUUGUGUCAAAUAUUAUGUUCCUUUUGUCAUGCUUUCUUGUUUAAUGUUGUUAUUUUCAUGUGGGUUUCUCACGCUUUGCUCUGCUUUUGUGUUCCUGGGAAACUUUCUUGUUAAAAAUUGUAACUUGGUAUUAUAUGUUUGUGUUAUUUAUCAAGAUUGUUAGUAUCAGGAAAUUUUUUUUAAAUUAAAAUCUGAAUUACUGGAGAGCUGAAAUGGACUUGCUAGUAUGUUGGAAAAAAUGUUUGUAGUUUUAAUGAGAAUUUGUUUUUAAUUUCUUGGAGGGUACUUUUAAUGUUGUUUGAAUUGAAGCCUUGAAGUUAGUUUGUAAUAUGGUGUUGAUUGAAUGUGGGUUGAGUUGUUCAACUUAGUAUUUAGCCCUUCAUCGUUCACGCACCUCAUUGUAUGUAAUAUAAGUAAUUUGACAAUUAAUUUUGCAGCUAAUGUUUUUUCUACACAUUUAAUAACGUUUGAAACAUCAGUGGAAGCAAAACAUUCAGCAGUUGAUCGCGCUGGUACAUUCAACUUUUGCAUCUUACCUGCAUAUAAUGAUACUAAUGCCCUAUUUGGUCUUUAGAACCUUGCAUUAGUUUAAUAAAAAAAAAGUACUAUCUUUGUAGUACUUGAUUAUUUAAACAUUAGAAUGGUUUCUUUUUAUUUUCUCCUUGUGCCAAUGUUUUUUUGGUUCUUCAUGGUCUAAAUUUUGAUUCAAUUAUGGUUGUUAUUCAGCGAUUGUCUCUCCAAGCGUGAAAUGCCAUCCUUGUAUCCCCAAGCUAAAGGCAUAGUAUAUGCACUCAAGGAAAAGGGGAUUGACAUGGCCAUUGCUUCUAGAUCACCAACCUCAGAUAUUGCAAAGACAUUUAUUGACAAACUAAGUCUCAAGCCAAUGUUUGUAGCACAGGUGAGUCAGCAAGAACUAAGAAUCGUUUUUUUUUCCUUUUAAAAUCUUUACUGUGCAAUGAGUAACAGGGUCAAUCAAUUGUGUUUCUUACUCGAGAACAUGACUAGCAGGGUCAUAGUUUAGUAGAACAUAGUCCUGAAAGGGAAGGCGAAAGAUGUAGCGUCUAACACACAGGGUUUGUAAAGUGUUGGAUACCGAAUUGUUUCUUGGAAUAGCUCAUGAUGUUGAGGAUUAAUUUAGUGCCUAAUAACUUGAUUUGAGUGAU
Molecule: long non-coding RNA, 7075 nt
Filed under: Populus tremula
Lineage: Eukaryota; Viridiplantae; Streptophyta; Magnoliopsida; Malpighiales; Salicaceae
Description: long non-coding RNA (PTRE_LNC001410)
Source: RNAcentral